RNAcentral lists this ribosomal RNA (500 nucleotides) under uncultured bacterium. Its description in RNAcentral is "partial 16S ribosomal RNA". It matches the Rfam family "Bacterial small subunit ribosomal RNA", at positions 28 to 523 of the family's 1533-position model. The record is from RNAcentral.
GUUGAACGCUGGCGGCAUGCCUUACACAUGCAAGUCGAACGGCAGCACGGGGUCAACCCUGGUGGCGAGUGGCGAACGGGUGAGUAAUGCAUCGGAACGUGUCCUCUUGUGGGGGAUAACCAGUCGUAAGAUUGGCUAAUACCGCAUGAGAUCGCAAGAUGAAAGCGGGGGACCGCAAGGCCUCGCGCGAGAGGAGCGGCCGAUGCCGGAUUAGCUAGUUGGUGGGGUAAAAGCCUACCAAGGCGACAAUCCGUAGCUGGUCUGAGAGGACGAGCAGCCACACUGGGACGGAGACACGGCCCAGACUCCUACGGGAGGCAGCAGUGGGGAAUUUUGGACAAUGGGCGCAAGCCUGAUCCAGCCAUGCCGCGUGUGUGAAGAAGGCCUUCGGGUUGUAAAGCACUUUCGGACGGAACGAAAUCGCGCGGGCGAACAUCCCGCGUGGAUGACGGUACCGUAAGAAGAAGCACCGGCUAACUACGUGCCAGCCGCCGCCGUAA